Molecule: ribosomal RNA, 497 nt
Filed under: uncultured bacterium
Lineage: Bacteria
Description: partial 16S ribosomal RNA
Rfam family: Bacterial small subunit ribosomal RNA
Source: RNAcentral
GAUGAACGCUGGCGGCGUGCCUAAUACAUGCAAGUCGAACGCUGAAGGAAGGAGCUUGCUCUUUCCGGAUGAGUCGCGAACGGGUGAGUAACGCGUAUGUAACCUCCCUGGUAGCGGGGGAUAACUAUUGGAAACGAUAGCUAAUACCGCAUAACAGUAGAUUUUGCAGGAUAUCUACUUAAAAGGUGCAAUUUCACCACUACCAGAUGGACCUGCGUUGUAUUAGCUAGUUGGUGAGGUAACGGCUCACCAAGGCGACGAUACAUAGCCGACCUGAGAGGGUGGUCCGCCCACCUGGGACUGGGACCCGGCACAGACUCCUUAGGGAGGGAGCAGUAGGGAAUCUUCGGGCAUGGACGGAAGUCUGGACGGGCAACGCCGCGGGAGUGAAGAAGGGUUUCGGGUCGGAAAGAUCGGUUGUAAGGGAAGAAAGAGUGUGAGAGUGGAAAGUUCACGCUGUGACGGUAUCUUAUCAGAAAGCGACGGCUAACUACGUG